Molecule: long non-coding RNA, 384 nt
Organism: Triplophysa rosa
Lineage: Eukaryota; Metazoa; Chordata; Actinopteri; Cypriniformes; Nemacheilidae
Exons: 3
Source: RefSeq, a predicted model, not a curated record
UUCCUGAACAGAAAAUAGGCACAAGCUACUGAAACGUCUAAAUCACAUGGAGUCAGAGAGAAGGCAAAAGAGGAGUGCAAGCCGCCUGAAAGAGAGCAAUAAAAAGGAAAAUAAAAUUUAGUCCAGAAAACAGCCCACCAUCAAGUCCAGAAGAGAUUUAAAACAGUUGAAAACACAUAAAAUGACACGCUGUUGCUUAAAAAAAUAGAAGAAAAAACAAAGAAAAUGACACAAUACCUGUAAAUGACAUGAGAAAAGAAAUCAAAGCCUUGAGAGCAGAGAAUCAGCAACUAAAGGCCCUGAACUUUAAACUGCAAAAUGAGAUUAUUAACAGAAUUGCGGAGUUGCUGCCAGACAGCAGUGUAAACAAGCAUGCGGUGCCAA